This is a long non-coding RNA of Syngnathoides biaculeatus (alligator pipefish), 716 nucleotides long. RefSeq lists it as uncharacterized. The record is from RefSeq and is a predicted model, not a curated record. The transcript is spliced from 3 exons. NCBI's taxonomy places the organism in Eukaryota, Metazoa, Chordata, Actinopteri, Syngnathiformes, Syngnathidae.
CGGGAAUUCAUAUGACUACUUAAAGAGUUAUUUUUAUUUAUUUUUUUAUCACAUGAGGGUGACACUAAACUGUGAGGUUCAGUACAUUGCUCAAACUAUAUUUCUGUUACAUGGAACCUGUUGGUCAGUUUCUGUGCAGUCAUCAAACCAAAGUGGGGGAGGGGAGAGUUGGUGUGACUGCUUUUGGAAGUUGGUAGACACUUGUGGGGGAGGGGAAUGCACCUGCAUGAGACGUUGCUUUUAAUUAGUACGGAAGUUACAGAACUACAUGGAUUGACAUGUAAGUCACCAUGUUUAUUUAUACUAAAAUGAACGAUUGUUCAAGUUGGUGAUGUUGGUGUCAAUUAUGUUUGUUUUGCCUGAGGUAAUAUUUUUGAACCUCAACCGUCGAAUUAUCGAAAUUUCCCUUCAACAUGAGGUUUGUGGUGCUCUGAAUUUCCUUGGUGGAAGUGAAUGCAUCGUCUAAAACACAAUCAAGCUUGCUGCAGAACCGACGAGGCUUGUGAAAAGCUAUUUAUGUGGCGAUCUGGAAGAAAAACGAAUGAAAACAACUUACAUCUAAUCGAGAUGAAAAAAAGAAGACGAGACCAGAGUAGCAGGUACAUUUCAACUGGGACAUAAUAAAGGUCCGGAUCACAUAUUUUUUCCCAGAAAGAAAUGUCAUUAAAAGCCUUGUAGUUAUGAAGCAAAUGGAGCAGUAUUGUGACAACUCGGAG